GUGUAUGUAUGUACCUGUAAUGCACAUUAAAUUAGACUAAUGUGCAUUAACAUGUCUUGUGUAGACACACCCUUAUGGAAAGGAUCUGGGAAUCCCAUGUUUUAGAGCUCUUGCUGGUUUCCAGUUAGCCAUUUUUUUCCACCUCAUGAAUGUCACUGGAUUUUAUGUUGUUGUCCAUGGGGCACGGGAUAGGGUCAAGGUCCCCGUCAACCUUGCGCCUGGCGGGCCUGUGCCAUGAGGGAAAAGCCUCAUUAUUCCUGCAGAAUCAGCCAGCAGCAAUUGCCCGGUUCUUGCCUGCUACAUCUUGAUGUAAUUUGUAGAUAAUCAGAAGGUGUUCUCCUACUGAAAGUCUGCUACAAGGACAUUAGGUCUGUCCCUCCUAGGGCUUCAACCUCCCCUUAUAUCCCAGUCAAAUGCCAACCAGCUGUUAUGAUAUUGUGGGAGACUACCAGUUGUUAACAGAUGUUCUACAAUUUUUCUGUUCUUUCUUUUUUUCCUAGGCUCAGGAUCUCUUUCUGUGUUCCUUCUGGAUGGAGAGGUCAGGGUUGAUCCAGGAGAAUAUCAGGAAAAUAUCACCACUGGAGCAAAAAGGGAACUGCAACCAUCACUGGGCAGGACAGCCCAGUGCAGUUCCUCCACCAGAAGUAGGGCAUCGGGUACAGGGAAUGCCAAUCUGGAAGGACCAGUGACGAUGGCAUUCCAGCAGCUGUGGCGUUCCCCGCAUAAGCAAUGCUUCCUCCUGGUCUGAUCAGAAGACAAAGGAAUAAAGAGUUCUGGAGAAAUCCUCACAUACUAUGGCCUCUGGAACUGUCCACUGAUCUUCCCAUUUGCUUAAAUAAUUGCAAAAUAGAUUUUUUUCAACAAUAUAUGAGUAUUUAUAUAUUAUUCAGUUGUAAACUGUAAUGACUGACUUGUUUAGAAGAUUUAAAGACAGAUAUUUGUCAGAUGUGCAGUGUUCACCAUUAUCUCUCAAAAAUGGACUGGAAAUAGAACUAAAAACCCUUCACCUCUGGGUCGCUAGCCAAUAUAACUCAGGUUUGAAAAGAAUAAAUAUAAUGACCUUUUGGUGACUUCCACAAAAUGAAUUAUAUGGCUCAGUCUAAUUCUUUACAAGCAAAUAUUCCCAGAAAAAGAUUGCUGACAGGAAUGGUACUUGAUGUAAUGACUUGUCUGAAAGAUCACUCAGUGAUAAACCAUGAAACACACUUCAGGUCAGAGAUGAGGGACAUUACUGAGGAAGGCACACCAAUAUAUUUGUUCUGCUGAUGCAAGAUUUAAGUUUCGAUGGUUGUCAAUCAUAAGAACUACACUGACAAAUAAAAAUGAACACAAGCUCUAAUUAAAGUAGAAAAUAUUUCUAAUGCAAAAUCACAAUAAGUAAUAACUUUAAAUCUAAACAGAAAAUCCAAAUCAUUUAAACAUUAAAUCAUGAGUGAAGAUAUCUAGUCAUACUGUAAACACCCAAAAGCUACCUUUCCUGGACAAUAAACAAGGCAGGGUUUUUUAAAUUGCGUUUAGUCAUCUUGUAUGCGUAGUUCAAGAUUAAUGUAUUAAUAUAGUAUUGCUUCUUCUAAAAUAACUCAGUGUUCUAGUUAUAAUGCAUUAUUAGUGUCCAUAACCUCUUCACAAAUGAAUUUUUCAUUUACUGACCAACUGCUAUUGUUCACAGACAGAAAAAAUACACCUUGAGAUAAAAUGAAUUCUCGAAACUGAAAAAAUGAACAUUUUGCUUUUUAACUGCAUAGACUGUAUAUGUGGAAUCCAAUUAUAAAUGUAUUUAUUUUCAAAGAAAAUCUAUUAGAAUCAGUAGAGGACAGAUCUGUCUUGGUAACAGUUAUUUCUAGUUCUUUUCAUGGAGGCAAAGUAGAUGAUAGACUGAUGUUCUCAGGCACAUCUACACGAGACGUUUACUGCACAGUUAACUAAUUAAUUGUGUAGUAAACAUCUUAGUGUCUGCAAGUGUGCCCCUAGUAGUACACAGGAAGCUAAUAAAUGCUGCAGCAGGGUAGUACUUGUAAA
This is a long non-coding RNA of Gavialis gangeticus (Gharial), 2019 nucleotides long. RefSeq lists it as uncharacterized. NCBI's taxonomy places the organism in Eukaryota, Metazoa, Chordata, Crocodylia, Gavialidae. The transcript has 3 exons. The record is from RefSeq and is a predicted model, not a curated record.